RNAcentral lists this ribosomal RNA (404 nucleotides) under Actinomycetes bacterium. RNAcentral describes it as "Actinobacteria bacterium partial 16S ribosomal RNA". It matches the Rfam family "Bacterial small subunit ribosomal RNA", at positions 355 to 776 of the family's 1533-position model. The record is from RNAcentral. Lineage: Bacteria; Bacillati; Actinomycetota; Actinomycetes.
UGGGGAAUAUUGGACAAUGGGCGCAAGCCUGAUCCAGCCAUGCCGCGUGAGUGAUGAAGGCCCUAGGGUUGUAAAGCUCUUUCACCAGUGAAGAUAAUGACGGUAACCGGAGAAGAAGCCCCGGCUAACUUCGUGCCAGCAGCCGCGGUAAUACGAAGGGGGCUAGCGUUGUUCGGAUUUACUGGGCGUAAAGCGCACGUAGGCGGACUAUUAAGUCAGGGGUGAAAUCCCGGGGCUCAACCCCGGAACUGCCUUUGAUACUGGUAGUCUUGAGUUCGAGAGAGGUGAGUGGAAUUCCGAGUGUAGAGGUGAAAUUCGUAGAUAUUCGGAGGAACACCAGUGGCGAAGGCGGCUCACUGGCUCGAUACUGACGCUGAGGUGCGAAAGCGUGGGGAGCAAACAGG